CAAUAGCGUAUAUUAAAGUUGUUGCAGUUAAAAAGCUCGUAGUUGGAUUUCUGGUGGGAGCGAUCGGUCUGGCGCUUAGCGCGAGUACUUGCAUCGUCUCCGGCCAUCCUUGGGGAGAGUCUGUCUGGCAUUAGGUUGUCGGGCAGAGGAUCCUCAUCGUUUACUGUGAAAAAAUUAGAGUGUUCAAAGCAGGCUUAUGCCGUUGAAUAUAUUAGCAUGGAAUAAUAAGAUAGGACUUUGGUACUAUUUUGUUGGUUUGCGCACCAGAGUAAUGAUUAAUAGGGACAGUUGGGGGUAUUCGUAUUCCGUUGUCAGAGGUGAAAUUCUUGGAUUUACGGAAGACGAACUACUGCGAAAGCAUUUACCAAGGAUGUUUUCAUUAA
Molecule: ribosomal RNA, 383 nt
Filed under: uncultured eukaryote
Lineage: Eukaryota
Description: partial 18S ribosomal RNA
Rfam family: Eukaryotic small subunit ribosomal RNA
Source: RNAcentral